This 440-nucleotide ribosomal RNA is filed under the name uncultured bacterium. RNAcentral's name for it is "partial 16S ribosomal RNA". It matches the Rfam family "Bacterial small subunit ribosomal RNA", at positions 338 to 795 of the family's 1533-position model. The record is from RNAcentral.
CCUACGGGUGGCAGCAGUGGGGAAUAUUGCACAAUGGGGGAAACCCUGAUGCAGCGACGCCGCGUGAGUGAAGAAGUAAUUCGUUAUGUAAAGCUCUAUCAGCAGGGAAGAAAAUGACGGUACCUGAGUAAGAAGCCCCGGCUAACUACGUGCAAGCAGCCGCGGCAAUACGUAGGGGGCAAGCGUUAUCCGGAUUUACUGGGUGUAAAGGGAGCGUAGACGGCAGUGCAAGUCUGGAGUGAAAGGCGGGGGGUCAACCCCCGGACUGCUCUGGAAACUGUACGGCUGGAGUGAAGGAGAGGUAAGUGGAAUUCCUGGUGUAGCGGUGAAAUGCGUAGAUAUUAGGAGGAACACCAGUGGCGAAGGCGGCUUACUGGACUGUAACUGACGUUGAGGCUCGAAAGCGUGGGGAGCAAACAGGAUUAGAUACCCUUGUAGUC